This is a long non-coding RNA of Daphnia magna, 1900 nucleotides long. RefSeq lists it as uncharacterized. Lineage: Eukaryota; Metazoa; Arthropoda; Branchiopoda; Diplostraca; Daphniidae. The record is from RefSeq and is a predicted model, not a curated record. The transcript has 3 exons.
GGAGGUUAACUAGGUGGAUGGAGUAAAAGUUCUUACAAGAACGCUACCUUGUAAUUUAUAAGAUUUAAUCUUAUUACUUGUUUGCCUUGGGUGAACGUGCUUAACUACCCUGGCAACAAGAGUUUUUGAAUCAAGCAAAUUACCUUCCCUAGUUUUUCCAUAGAUGAGUACUCGUUUACAAUUGCGGGAUUCAGUUCAGUACACGCCAGUUCAUUUGGAAGUUAACAUCACCUGCCAGUCUUUUUUUCCCUCUACAAGACUAUGUAAUACGACAAGUAUACAAAGACAGAAAACGCAAAGAAAAUGGUGAAACCAUUCGUAAAAGGAUUAGCUUUCAGCCAGUUUCCUCUUACAAUAGGCUGAUUGAAUCCUUUGCAACCAAAGCCAAAGGACAUAAUCAACUGGAGGUGAAGCAGUUUAAAAUUCUGAUAUAAACGAGCGUCCAAGAUGACAAGUUGUCUUAUACUGCGAACGUGAAAUUCUCGACUGUCGCAUAUUUGUUAACCAUUAAAACAUCGUGUCUCAAUUAAUUCAGAAAUUCACGAUAGACAACAAUAAUCUUCAAUAAUAACUUGUUUGAUUCAGGUAAUAUCAGGUGUGGGGAUCGAACCCACGUCUCUAUGUAGAGACCAGAACUUAAGUCUGGCGCCUUAACCACUCGGCCAACCUGAUUGUGAUAAUAGGUAAUGACCCCUAAAAGCAAUAAAAAUUUAGCAAGACGUAAAGUUGAUUUUGGGUUACUAAGGGCUACACGGACGCUGCUAAAGUUUAACCCAAAUUGGGAUUCCGUUAGUCUAUGAACGCAUGCAAACUAUGGAAUAUGGAAAUGGUGUUGAAGACGUUUACAGCUAUUCAUAACGAAUGUUGACUGCGUGACGUCUGGCCGUGAAGCGUGUGGGCUGCUAGGCUGGUCACAAGACUUAUUUCGUCACACAAUCAACCACCAUAACUUCAUAGAAGCAUUGUCAUCCAUGCCAUUCAGUUCGGUGUGCUGUUUGAGGUUUGACAGUUAACAGGCAAUCUGUAUUUAUAUACGUCUAAGAACUGAUCUUUGUUACAUGUAGCCUACGAAGAAAUUGCUGCAAAAUUUGAACGCUACGAUCAUCUUUUGGUAUUCAUUUCAUAGAACUUAUUGUGGUAACGAAAUACUUAAAAUGUCCUUUUUCCCCAUAUUUUUUCCAAAACAUCGUCUUGCACUUAUAGAAUGUGAUGGAUAAUUUAGACGGGGACAACAAAAAACAACUAUACUUUCAAGGGAAAGCCAAUUUCACUUGUACGCCAUGAGUUGUGGCAUUUUUAAUUUAGGGGAUGAGUUGCACGAGUUACGUGAAUGAACUUGAAAGUUUCGCACAGUUUGCCAGGGAAAUCAUUCAUAUUUCAAACUUCAUUGUUAUCCUCUCUGUUGGCUAGCCCUCAAGAGACAUGCACGCGUCGUUCAUUGGGGCAGGAUCAAUUCACGUUGGCAACCAGUAGACCGUCUGUUUUAUUUUGUCUCUAAAUAAUUGCUUCCUCGAAUGCAAGUUUUGUUAUAACCGCUGUCCUGCUUGUCUUUGGUGGUAGAUUCUGGCAUGAAUAGAUGGAACGAGACGCAGGGGAGAACAAUUAGUUCAGAAAAAUGCGAACGUUUGAAGGGAAACUAACUUACUUUCUUCAUCCUUAGGAUACCGAAGUGAAAUCCUCCAAGCAGAAUCAAGUUAACAGACUUGCACGUUACAAUGGCACCGUAUACGUUAUCUUUUGAUGUGGGCAAAGGUUAACGUGUCAGCAGCCAAGUAGAAGUUUUGCACACAACAGCGUGUAUUCUCAGAAUCUAACUUACGAAUAAGUGGGAGUGAAACUAGAUUAGGUUUUAAUGAAAAUGUAACAUUUUCGAAGAAGGGGGGAAGUCAAACUUCUAUUU